This 1905-nucleotide ribosomal RNA is filed under the name Triticum aestivum (bread wheat). Its description in RNAcentral is "partial small subunit ribosomal RNA". The record is from RNAcentral. Lineage: Eukaryota; Viridiplantae; Streptophyta; Magnoliopsida; Poales; Poaceae.
AUGAAGCAUAUGAAGCUUGGUUCCAAGCCGGAUGUCUUUCAGACAGAGGGCAGCAAUAUCAGGUUUGUUGCAACAGAGCUGGCAACAGACAUCGUUAUCUCCAUAGGAGAUGUCAAGUUUUAUCUUCACAAGUUCCCUCUUUUGUCAAAGAGUUCACGGUUGCAAAGAUUAGUAGCUUCAAGUAACGAGGAAAGCGACGAUGAAGUGAAUAUAUCUGACAUUCCUGGUGGUUCUUCUGCAUUUGAAAUUUGUGCCAAGUUCUGCUACGGCAUGAUUGUAACACUCAAUGCAUAUAAUGUUCUUGCUGCUCGUUGCGCAGCUGAGUACCUAGAAAUGUUUGAGACCAUUGACAAAGGAAAUCUUAUCUACAAAAUUGACGUGUUCUUGACAUCGAGCAUUUUUCGCACCUGGAAAGACUCAAUCAUAGUUCUGCAAAGUACGAAGUCAUUGCUGCCAUGGUCUGAGAAUUUGAAGGUAAUCAACCACUGCAUUGAUUCUAUUGCAUCGAAGGCGUCAAUUGAUCCGUCAGAGGUUGAGUGGUCAUACACCUACAACAGAAAAAAGCUCCAAUCCGAGAAUGGUGUUGAUUCUCACUGGAAUGGAGUCAGGAUGCAACAGAUGGUCCCUAAGGACUGGUGGGUUGAGGACCUUUCUGAACUUGAAAUGGAUUUGUACAAGCGUGUGCUCCUAACAAUCAAGGCAAAGGGAAGAACACCUGCUGUAGUUAUUGGAGAAGCACUAAGAGUCUAUGCAUUCCGACGGCUGUUUGGUUCCCUUGAAGAUGCCGUGAGCAAUGGAAUUGAUUGCACAAAACGUCGUGCAGUUCUCGAAAGCAUUGUAUUUCUGCUGCCCACUGAAAAAGGUUCAGUGUCAUGUGGUUUUCUUCUCAAGUUACUAAAUGCUGCAUGCUUGCUGGAAUCUGGUGAGUCUUAUCGUGAUAACUUGGUAAAGAGAAUAGGCACCCAACUGGAUGGUGCUUCAGUUCCAGACCUUCUUAUACCAGCAACCAGUGCUGAAAAUGGCGUGUAUAAUGUCGACGUGAUCAUGGCAAUAGUAGAGCAGUUCAUGUCACAUCAUAGUGAUAAUGGUAAAAUGACUUUUCAAGAUGAUGAUGAAAUUGUGGAAGUCGAGAAGUUUGCUUCUGUUUCCAGCACGUCAAAGCUGGCAGUUGCAAAGCUGAUCGAUGAAUAUCUUGGUGAGAUCGCUAAAGACCCUAACCUGCCUGUUCUGAAGUUCAUUGCACUUGCUGAAAUGGUGUCUGCCUCGUCCCGACAAAUGCAUGACGAACUAUACCAUGCCAUCGACAUGUAUCUAAAGGAGCACCCCAGCCUAUCAAAGAGCGAAAAGAAGAGAUUAUGUGGAUUGAUGGACUGCAAGAAGCUGUCCCAGGAGGCCUGCAUGCACGCGGUGCAGAAUGAACGGCUUCCUCUGCGUGUGGUUGUGCAAGUUCUCUUCUUUGAGCAAGUCCGAGCAUCAGACGCUUCUGCCAGGAGUGACUCUGGAGCCGACCUUUCAUCUGCUGUUCAUUCGCUUCUUCCCAGAGAGAAUGGCAACUCGUACGGCAGCUCCAGGUCAGCGGCCACAACAACAACGGAAGAGGAAGGUAGUGGAGUCCCGACAUCCAGCGACAUCAAUUCUUUCAGGUCGAUGCGGCUCGCCAACAACUGCGGUGGCAGCGAGAGGAGCAGCACCAGCAGCGACAUCAACAAGAACGGCGAAGACAAGAGCACCACCACCGGCAAGGCGAAAGUGAUGCUGAUGCCGAAGAUGCUAAGCAAGCUCUGGUCUGGGAAGGCGCACGUCGGUGAGAACAGUAGCUCGGACACGUCGGAGAGCCCCGGAUCCGCGAACCCGGAGGAGGUGAAGUCCACACCGUCACGGAACACGAGGCAAUCGACGUCCUAG